This 943-nucleotide ribosomal RNA is filed under the name Staphylococcus aureus H72129_090612. RNAcentral's name for it is "bacterial SSU rRNA". It matches the Rfam family "Bacterial small subunit ribosomal RNA", at positions 8 to 932 of the family's 1533-position model. The record is from RNAcentral. RNAcentral also lists the same sequence under 1 other name. Lineage: Bacteria; Bacillati; Bacillota; Bacilli; Caryophanales; Staphylococcaceae.
AGAGUUUGAUCCUGGCUCAGGAUGAACGCUGGCGGCGUGCCUAAUACAUGCAAGUCGAGCGAACGGACGAGAAGCUUGCUUCUCUGAUGUUAGCGGCGGACGGGUGAGUAACACGUGGAUAACCUACCUAUAAGACUGGGAUAACUUCGGGAAACCGGAGCUAAUACCGGAUAAUAUUUUGAACCGCAUGGUUCAAAAGUGAAAGACGGUCUUGCUGUCACUUAUAGAUGGAUCCGCGCUGCAUUAGCUAGUUGGUAAGGUAACGGCUUACCAAGGCAACGAUGCAUAGCCGACCUGAGAGGGUGAUCGGCCACACUGGAACUGAGACACGGUCCAGACUCCUACGGGAGGCAGCAGUAGGGAAUCUUCCGCAAUGGGCGAAAGCCUGACGGAGCAACGCCGCGUGAGUGAUGAAGGUCUUCGGAUCGUAAAACUCUGUUAUUAGGGAAGAACAUAUGUGUAAGUAACUGUGCACAUCUUGACGGUACCUAAUCAGAAAGCCACGGCUAACUACGUGCCAGCAGCCGCGGUAAUACGUAGGUGGCAAGCGUUAUCCGGAAUUAUUGGGCGUAAAGCGCGCGUAGGCGGUUUUUUAAGUCUGAUGUGAAAGCCCACGGCUCAACCGUGGAGGGUCAUUGGAAACUGGAAAACUUGAGUGCAGAAGAGGAAAGUGGAAUUCCAUGUGUAGCGGUGAAAUGCGCAGAGAUAUGGAGGAACACCAGUGGCGAAGGCGACUUUCUGGUCUGUAACUGACGCUGAUGUGCGAAAGCGUGGGGAUCAAACAGGAUUAGAUACCCUGGUAGUCCACGCCGUAAACGAUGAGUGCUAAGUGUUAGGGGGUUUCCGCACCUUAGUGCUGCAGCUAACGCAUUAAGCACUCCGCCUGGGGAGUACGACCGCAAGGUUGAAACUCAAAGGAAUUGACGGGGACCCGCACAAGCGG